RNAcentral lists this ribosomal RNA (85 nucleotides) under uncultured bacterium. RNAcentral's name for it is "partial 16S ribosomal RNA". The record is from RNAcentral.
ACCGCCCGUCGCUUCAUCGAAGUUGGUUUUAGGCGAGGUGGUGCGAUAUUGGCAUUAUCGAACCUGAGAUCAGCCAACGAGGGAG